Folsomia candida is the source of this 4909-nucleotide RNA transcript. RefSeq lists it as uncharacterized. The transcript has 8 exons. The record is from RefSeq and is a predicted model, not a curated record. Lineage: Eukaryota; Metazoa; Arthropoda; Collembola; Entomobryomorpha; Isotomidae.
CUUUUCCCAAAUCGACUUCACUAACAGAUCCGCUCUCAACUAGAAAGGAGCACACAUUUUAUCAUUCCCACAGGCUUUUGUUACCAAAUCCAUCCCAGAUCAAAACUCGCCUCUGCUUUUACAUAACACAUCUUGCUUGUGUAAUAGAAUUUUGUGCGAAAAUGGAUCUUUUGGUUCCAGUUCAGAUACGUUAUUGAAAGUGGAAUCAUAAAUCGAUCAUAAAUUUCAAAAGUUUCUUCCAAAAAAAUCGUCCCAGAGCUUGUCCCCGUGAAGACGAAGACAUGCCUGUAGUGGUGAUUUCUCUCUCAUCGAAACGUUCGUUCAAACGGGAGCGUGACCGUGUUUUGGGACAAAGUCUGCGCAGGGGUCGCAGCGAACGUGACACUUUGCUCACGGAUAAGAAAAAGAGGAAGCAAGACCAAGCUAACCAGAACCAUAUUGCUUCUGCUUGUGGUGCUACUGCUACCAAUUCCGGUGCGAUUGUUAAAGUGAUGGUCAAAAAGUAGUUCCCACAGAAAAGGAUAUAAAGUUUAAAACCAGAUAAUUACACCGACCUAUGAACAAUAAGUGGUCACCUCUUGUAUUUCUGUGUAUAUGUAGACAAUGUAUAGUGAAAAGGGAAAUCUAAAAAUCUAAAAAGUUCUAAGCAAAAAUUUAAUAAAGAAAAAAAAUUAAAAAUCUAAAGAGUUCUGUGCGUUGAAAAGGACUGAAGGGGUAUUUUAAUGAGAACGACAAUUUUUAAACACUCGUAACCUCCAUAGAUAAAAAGGAUGCUUAUCAUCAACACCAAUGAUCAUCAUCCUUGUUAGUUAAGAACUUUUGUUGUGAAUUGACUGCCGGAAGACGAGAAAGAAAGGGAAUUUAGAUUUGGAAGAAACAAACUUCCGGCACUAUUUACUCCAUAUCGCUCGGUUUCUUAUGUUCCGUUGGAUAAGCAUCGUAAAAUCCAUUUUCAAUGCGGCCACCAUUCACCAUUCCGACUUGAGCCCAAAAAUUUCACCAUAUCAAGUCCUCCAAGCGACAAUGGAAUAUACAACUAUCCUUCUAGAUGAUACGCCAUCGUGAUUGAGAAAUUAAAUCCUUAUACCGAUCUGCAUGUUUCUUCCUCACUCAACCAACCGACUAGAAAAGUAUUGAGAUUGAUUAUUUAGUUCCUGUUAAUAAUGAGUGAUGUACACACGAUGAAAACUGUGAUUACUUCUACCUCCGCGGUGAUAGUGACAAAGGAAGAAGACGGGAAAUCGAGUAGUGAACUAGCUCUGGUAGUAGAACCGACAUCAUCACGCAACAAAGGGGAAGACUUGUCCGUAGCACCUCAAACUAAUGGGAUUACUACUACGAAUGAUGAUGCUGUUGCGUCCGUCGAUACCAAACAACUCGUUACCGAUAACAACACUGCAGCCACAAAACAAGAAGGAUGCGAGCAGUCUUCGUCCCACACGAGAACGGGUAGCACCAUCAUCCCUCCUCUCUCCACUGAUAUCGAUUCUUCUUCAUCCACUGUAAUCAUCAAAAGUGAAGUUGAAGUUGAACAAGUCAGUUGUAGUGGACCAGUACCAAAUUUUCGUGUCGAAGGUUCCGAUGCUGGCGACAGUUCUGUGACCGUGGUCACCUCGCUAAGUCUGAGCUCCUCCGCGCUUCAAGACUGUUGCGGUGGUGGUGGCAGUGAGAGCGAGCCCAGCUCUGAAGACAUGAAACUCUCGCUCGUCAGUUGGUACUCAGAACCGGAUGAUGCGGCUCGACUCGCUUUGACCUCAUCGACAAGUAGUGCCUGCUGCCCACGACAGACCAUGUCGCUCACGGGCAGUUUGUUGAGCAAGAGUGGUUCAGAGGAGAAGGAAAAUCAGACGCCUGAACCUAGACGACGAGAAGCUGAAGAAAAUGACGAAUCGACCUCAUCCUCAUGCAAUUUGCUACCAUUAAUCCUGGACACCGAGGUCCUUGGCGGAAGUCGGGAAAGCGUGCUAACUUUGAGAGGGGAGGAAGACAAAGCUCCUAACAACCGUAAAAAUCAGACCGAGUCAAACAAACACGUGCAACUACUACUUGACGGGAAAAAUAGUGCGAAUGAUAAAACGGUCCCUCACCAUGGCCCUAAAAAACAUACCGCAUUUAAUCAGUCCACCUCCAUUUCCAAUGCUGCUACUCCCGAGUGUGGCAAAUGCGCCCGAAAAUCAAAGUCAGGAAACAACACCCCACAUGGAAACCAUCAGAGCCGAAUUCGAACCCCAGCCUCUCGCAGAUUAAUGCCCUCCACAAAGAGCAGCACAGAACUGAAGAAACCUAUCAAAUCCAUUCUCAAAAGCGACUCUCGUAGCGGGAGUGGAUCAGAUAACAAAUCCUCGAUGGAUAGCUUGCCCAGCGCAGAUCGAACAUGUACCAACGCGACGACACCUCUUCGUCCACGUGGCGCAGAAUUACUGUCUCGAUCUGAAUCUACUACCAGAGCUAAGUUCAACCUUAACCACGAAUUCUUCAAUGCUGACGGUUCCCCCUCCAACCAGGAAGCGUAUAACAAUUCAACUUCUGAGGAACGGCUUGCCUUGAAAUUGCGUAGAAUUGAGAAAUAUGCAACCCUUCGUCUCCGUAAGACACGCGUCAGACCACUAGAGUUGGGCAGUGAUUCGGACAUUAUUAACACGACCGGUGGGAAAAGUAAAGCUGGCACACCCACCACCACCACUGGAAUCGAUCUCAUGACAAAGAGCAUGUCCUUCCUGGAAAAGGGUGGGCCUAACAACGGGGACGCAACCAGCCUCCCCUGGAAUGGAAUGCAGCAUGGACAAAAGUCUAACUCCUUGAAGAGGCAGGGGUCUCUGCGGAUCAAAAAUAGAAGUAGUCCUCCUUGGGAGCCAUGCACCACGAGAACGACUGCACUCCGAAUGCAGAAGAUGCAGGAAUCCAAGGCGAAAGGUGGAGGAACCAGUGGCGGAGUCACAACCUACUCGUCCGUUGGGAGUGGCAGUGCUCACACGGGUAGUACUCACUCGGGAAGUGGGGACUCGAUUCAUCAUCUCGUCCCACAGAGUCGCAGCGCCCCAUCAAGCAAGACACUGUCGGCUUGUAAUUUAACUUCUGGAAAAGGGGGUGACAAGUUUAAGGUCUUCGCCAAACUCUCUUCUGCCGGAGGUCAGACGGCAAGUAGCAAUCAGAAGAGGUUGAAACAGGAAAAGAGCGUUCAGACUGAUGUUCACCCCACCACCACUGAUCAGCUUUUAAACGGGAACAAUCCCACCAGCAUGAGUCCAAUUCCAUCCGUUGAUGCAGCUUCCGACCUACUCGACCAAAUAAAACAACUAGAAAAACUUGCCAAUCGAUAUCGCAACACGGCCCUUAAAUUCCAGUCUAAAUAUGAAAGUUCGGAAGCAAUAAAAUCCGAGUUAGCCAAACAGUUACAAGAAACGCAGCAAGAAUCGAGCGAAAUGGUAGAAUUUUUACAAGCGGAAAAAUCAACCUUGGCCGAAUCACUUACUGAAAUCGAAACCGAGGCCACAACUUGGCGAGAGGAAAUCCAAGGCAUACGGAAAGAGUCUGACAGUCGAAUCUCCACUCUGGUUCGUCUUAGCGAGCAACACAAACAAGAAGCCCUCAGGUCGCAACUACUCCUCCAACGUCUCGAGUCACAAUCCAAUUCUGUCUUGGCUUCGAUAUCAAAUCAAAUUUCGGAAGGAACGACCUCCAUCGUGUUGACGAGACAGAAAGUCAACUCUCUUACAGAGUGUUUGAUAGAGGCGUACAAGAUCCCACAGGAGCUGCUCACCUCAUUCGCUAAUGCUGACCCCCAAACCACGAAGGACACGGUAGUUUCCACUGUUAACAGUGGUAACAAUACUCAACCCAAUAGUUCCCUCCUUCUCCCCCUCAUUACCUCGCUGGCCGAAGCAUUUCCUACUUCCGCCGCAACCCUUGCCAAACUCGCCAACAAGUCGGAAUCUGGCCCAAUCAAGUUUCCAACCUUUAAGACUCCCCAGUUGUUGACAACUAAUUCGUAUAAUGCGAAAAUAGAGGGAUCUACUAACUCUGCCCCUCCCAGUAGUGACGAAACUGACUCGCUGCGAAACCUAAACCAGGCCAUUAUGGAUCGAGAGGCUGCUGAAACUAUCGGACUUGAUCAAAUUACGCUUCCUCAACUCGUUAGUUCAUUCCCGGAAGAAGAUGACGCUUAUUUGACUCGUGAAAUCGUGGAGCUAAAUUCUUCCUUGGGCCGACUCCUCUUGGUUGUUCGCGUCAUCGUUGUGCAAUGUGACAAACAGGUUUCGAACGUGGCGUCGAGUAUUCUGCAGUGUUUACAACAGGAGGGUUCACAAAUAAAAUCCCCUGGGGAUUCAUCCACUCCCCACAACAGAGAAGACACUAUUACCACUUUGACGACCGGAGAGAAAGUCGACGCCAGUCAUCGGCCAUUGAAGAAUGGGCACACUAUAACCUAACCACUGUUAAUUUAACUGUAUAAUUACUGAAGCUGGGCUCGGAUCUGCGAUGUCUAAAAAUCCGAGCCCAGCUUCAGUAUAUCAAGUCUAAAGCAUUCUAUUUCUGUUGUCUGACUCCCGUGUUACACACGUUCCAAUACAACGUUCAUUCCACAAGUAUUCAUUCUUGUACUUGUUUAAAUCUUGUAAAGUUUGUUGUAAAUUGGCAUAAAUCAAACUUUUUUGAAAGUUUAAGUUGUAAUGUUUUAAUAAAUCUGUAAAUAUUUCUUAUUUCUCAUUUAAAUUCACUGUUUUACCUCAAUUUCAAAUUCCUCGCUGUUCUAAGUUUCAAGUUGACCAUGAUACAAGAAGAAAAGAGAAAUUAAAAGCUGCCUGGACAAAUUAUAAUCAAAUAUAUUAUGAAAUACCUUCUUAUUUAAAUCAAUUAUCCAAAUUUCACAAAAGCAAUAAAAUAUUAAAGAUAAAAAUGUGCAAAAAAA